This 252-nucleotide long non-coding RNA is filed under the name Gossypium barbadense (sea-island cotton). Its description in RNAcentral is "long non-coding RNA (GBAR_LNC014279)". Lineage: Eukaryota; Viridiplantae; Streptophyta; Magnoliopsida; Malvales; Malvaceae. The record is from RNAcentral.
UCAAAAUAGGAUUAAAUAUAUUUAAAAUCUAAUGUUAAAAAUAAAAAAGAAAAGAGAAAAAAACACCAUGCACUAAAUCAAAAUCUGACUUAAUAUUGUGGGACUAAAUUAGCAAUUAGACGCAAAAAAUAAAUAAUCAAAACCAAUCGCAAAAAUGGCACCGUUUGACCAUGGAUUUAAAUGAAAACAAGGUUAAAUAUGCGAUACAAAUUAAGAAAAAUGGAAAGAAAUCCGAUUGAAGCUGAGCAAAAC